CUACGGGGGGCUCCAGUGAGGAAUAUUGCACAAUGGGGGGAACCCUGAUGCAGCAACGCCGCGUGGAGGAUGACGCAUUUCGGUGUGUAAACUCCUUUUAUAUGUCAAGAAAAUGACGGUAGCAUAUGAAUAAGCACCGGCUAACUCCGUGCCAGCAGCCGCGGUAAUACGGAGGGUGCAAGCGUUACUCGGAAUCACUGGGCGUAAAGGACGCGUAGGCGGGAUAUCAAGUCAGGUGUGAAAUCCUACAGCUUAACUGUAGAACUGCACUUGAAACUGGUAACCUAGAGUAUGGGAGGGGGAGAUGGAAUUAGUGGUGUAGGGGUAAAAUCCGUAGAUAUCACUAGGAAUACCUAAAGCGAAGGCGAUCUCCUGGAACAUAACUGACGCUAAGGCGUGAAAGCGUGGGGAGCAAACAGGAUUAGAUACCCGUGUAGUC
This 439-nucleotide ribosomal RNA is filed under the name uncultured bacterium. RNAcentral describes it as "partial 16S ribosomal RNA". It matches the Rfam family "Bacterial small subunit ribosomal RNA", at positions 339 to 795 of the family's 1533-position model. The record is from RNAcentral.